Mercenaria mercenaria is the source of this 508-nucleotide long non-coding RNA. RefSeq lists it as uncharacterized. The record is from RefSeq and is a predicted model, not a curated record. The transcript has 4 exons. Lineage: Eukaryota; Metazoa; Mollusca; Bivalvia; Venerida; Veneridae.
AAAGGAGUAAUGAAAGAAAUGAAAGUCGACAAGCUGUUUACUAAAACUUAAAAGUGAAUAUACAUCAAGAUUAAGCUCCUGUAAGGAAUCGAAUAGGACGUCGAAAAGGACGAAACAGAAAGCUGAGAAUUUGCAAGAAUUAUAGAUAGGAUGGCUGAAAAAGUCAACUAUUACAUGAUUACACACAAGGGCAUUUCCUUAUCAACCAUAUACUGACACUUCCCAUCGCGUGAACCCUUACCAGACUACACUUGUUUAAAGGAAGAAAUGAGCAAAGGAUCCACCAUGGAUCGGCAUGAAUGGAUGUUCCCUUUCUCAGUGGUCUAAGGAAACAAGACUGAAAGCAGGCUUGCAGAAAUAACAGCAGAUCAAAAUCUGGUGUGGCACGAUGACAAGUAAAGGUAAAAGCAAAGAAGUCAAGAACCGUCCAUAAUCCGUCAAGUGCAGCACAACAAUGAAAAUGCAGACUGUGUUCUUUAAAAGCAAAACACUGAUUUAUUUCUCGUCC